Molecule: ribosomal RNA, 253 nt
Filed under: uncultured bacterium
Lineage: Bacteria
Description: partial 16S ribosomal RNA
Rfam family: Bacterial small subunit ribosomal RNA
Source: RNAcentral
UACGAGGGUGGCAAGCGUUAUCCGGAUUCACUGGGUUUAAAGGGUGCGUAGGUGGGUCUGUAAGUCCGUGGUGAAAUCUCCGAGCUUAACUUGGAAACUGCCAUGGAUACUAUAGGUCUUGAAUACUGUGGAGGUCAGCGGAAUAUGUCAUGUAGCGGUGAAAUGCUUAGAUAUGACAUAGAACACCAAUUGCGAAGGCAGCUGGCUACACAAAUAUUGACACUGAGGCACGAAAGCGUGGGGAUCAAACAGG